UACGAAGGGUGCAAACGUUGCUCGGAAUCAUUGGGCGUAAAGCGCACGUAGGCGGCAUUCUAAGUCGGAUGUGAAAUCCCUCGGCUCAACCGAGGACGUGCAUCCGAAACUGGAACGCUCGAGUAUGGAAGAGGGUCGCGGAAUUCUCGGUGUGGAGGUGAAAUUCGUAGAUAUCGGGAGGAACACCAGUGGCGAAGGCGGCGACCUGGGCCAAUACUGACGCUGAGGUGCGAAAGCGUGGGGAGCAAACAGG
This 253-nucleotide ribosomal RNA is filed under the name uncultured bacterium. Its description in RNAcentral is "partial 16S ribosomal RNA". It matches the Rfam family "Bacterial small subunit ribosomal RNA", at positions 524 to 776 of the family's 1533-position model. The record is from RNAcentral.